This 433-nucleotide ribosomal RNA is filed under the name uncultured bacterium. Its description in RNAcentral is "partial 16S ribosomal RNA". It matches the Rfam family "Bacterial small subunit ribosomal RNA", at positions 29 to 507 of the family's 1533-position model. The record is from RNAcentral.
AACGAACGCUGGCGGCAUGCCUAACACAUGCAAGUCGAACGAGACCUUCGGGUCUAGUGGCGCACGGGUGCGUAACGCGUGGGAACCUGCCCUUAGGUUCGGAAUAACUCCCCGAAAGGGGUGCGAAUACCGGAUAAUGUCUUCGGACCAAAGUUUUAUCGCCUUUGGAUGGGCCCGCGUUGGAUUAGCUAGUUGGUAGGGUAAAAGCCUACCAAGGCGACGAUCCAUAGCUGGUCUGAGAGGAUGAUCAGCCACACUGGGACUGAGACACGGCCCAGACUCCUACGGGAGGCAGCAGUGGGGAAUAUUGGACAAUGGGCGAAAGCCUGAUCCAGCAGUGCCGCGUGAGUGAUGAAGGCCUUAGGGUUGUAAAGCUCUUUUACCCAGGAUGAUAAUGACAGUACCGGGAGAAUAAGCUCCGGCUAACUCCGUG